AACGUAGGAGGCGAGCGUUAUCCGGAUUUACUGGGCGUAAAGCGCACGCAGGCGGCUGGGCAAGUCGGAUGUGAAAGCUCCUGGCUUAACUGGGAGAGGCCAUUCGAAACUGCUCGGCUUGAGGUUGGGAGAGGGGUGCGGAAUUCCCGGUGUAGUGGUGGAAUGCGUAGAUAUCGGGAGGAACACCAGUGGCGAAAGCGGCACCCUGGCCCACACCUGACGCUGAUGUGCGAAAGCGUGGGUAG
RNAcentral lists this ribosomal RNA (245 nucleotides) under uncultured bacterium. Its description in RNAcentral is "partial 16S ribosomal RNA". It matches the Rfam family "Bacterial small subunit ribosomal RNA", at positions 524 to 768 of the family's 1533-position model. The record is from RNAcentral.